GUAGUCCACGCCGUAAACGAUGAGAACUAGAUGUUAGGGGGCUUAGACCUCUUAGUAUCGCAGCAAACGCGUUAAGUUCUCCGCCUGGGGAGUACGGCCGCAAGGUUAAAACUCAAAUGAAUUGACGGGGGCCCGCACAAGCGGUGGAGCAUGUGGUUUAAUUCGAUGCAACGCGAAGAACCUUACCUACCUUUGAAUCCACGGAAUCUUGCAGAAAUGUGAGAGUGCCUUCGGGAACCGUGAGACAGGUGCUGCAUGGCUGUCGUCAGCUCGUGUCGUGAGAUGUUGGGUUAAGUCCCGUAACGAGCGCAACCCUUGUCCUUAGUUACCAGCGAGUUAUGUCGGGGACUUUAAGGAGACUGCCGGUGAUAAACCGGA
Molecule: ribosomal RNA, 378 nt
Filed under: uncultured bacterium
Lineage: Bacteria
Description: bacterial SSU rRNA
Rfam family: Bacterial small subunit ribosomal RNA
Source: RNAcentral